GUGGGGAAUUUUGGACAAUGGGCGCAAGCCUGAUCCAGCCAUUCCGCGUGCAGGAUGAAGGCCUUCGGGUUGUAAACUGCUUUUGUACGGAACGAAAAGACUCUGGUUAAUACCUGGGGUCCAUGACGGUACCGUAAGAAUAAGCACCGGCUAACUACGUGCCAGCAGCCGCGGUAAUACGUAGGGUGCAAGCGUUAAUCGGAAUUACUAGGCGUAAAGCGUGCGCAGGCGGUUUUGUAAGACAGGCGUGAAAUCCCCGGGCUCAACCUGGGAAUUGCGAUUGUGACUGCGAGGCUGGAGUGCGGCAGAGGGAGAUGGAAUUCCGCGUGUAGCAGUGAAAUGCGUAGAUAUGCGGAGGAACACCGAUGGCGAAGGCAAUCCCCUGGGCCUGCACUGACGCUCAUGCACGAAAGCGUGGGGAGCAAACAGGAUUAGAUACCCGGGUAGUCC
Molecule: ribosomal RNA, 450 nt
Filed under: uncultured bacterium
Lineage: Bacteria
Description: partial 16S ribosomal RNA
Rfam family: Bacterial small subunit ribosomal RNA
Source: RNAcentral